Molecule: transfer RNA, 80 nt
Filed under: bovine gut metagenome
Rfam family: tRNA
About the family: Transfer RNA (tRNA) molecules are approximately 80 nucleotides in length. Their secondary structure includes four short double-helical elements and three loops (D, anti-codon, and T loops). Further hydrogen bonds mediate the characteristic L-shaped molecular structure. tRNAs have two regions of fundamental functional importance: the anti-codon, which is responsible for specific mRNA codon recognition, and the 3' end, to which the tRNAs corresponding amino acid is attached (by aminoacyl-tRNA synthetases). tRNAs cope with the degeneracy of the genetic code in two manners: having more than one tRNA (with a specific anti-codon) for a particular amino acid; and 'wobble' base-pairing, i.e. permitting non-standard base-pairing at the 3rd anti-codon position.
Source: RNAcentral
CUGGUGGCGGAAUUGGUAGACGCGUCAGACUUAAAAUCUGAUGAUCGCAAGAUCGUGGGGGUUCGAGUCCCCCCCUGCCC